UAUGUGACCANAUCCCAUCCGUGUCUAUUGUACCCUGUUGCUUCGGCGGGCCCGCCGCUUGUCGGCCGCCGGGGGGGCGCCUCUGCCCCCCGGGCCCGUGCCCGCCGGAGACCCCAACACGAACACUGUCUGAAAGCGUGCAGUCUGAGUUGAUUGAAUGCAAUCAGUUAAAACUUUCAACAAUGGAUCUCUUGGUUCCGGCAUCGAUGAAGAACGCAGCGAAAUGCGAUAACUAAUGUGAAUUGCAGAAUUCAGUGAAUCAUCGAGUCUUUGAACGCACAUUGCGCCCCCUGGUAUUCCGGGGGGCAUGCCUGUCCGAGCGUCAUUGCUGCCCUCAAGCCCGGCUUGUGUGUUGGGUCGCCGUCCCCCUCUCCGGGGGGACGGGCCCGAAAGGCAGCGGCGGCACCGCGUCCGAUCCUCGAGCGUAUGGGGCUUUGUCACAUGCUCUGUAGGAUUGGCCGGCGCCUGCCGACGUUUUCCAACCAUUCUUUCCAGGUUGACCUCGGAUCAGGUAGGGAUACCCGCUGAACUUA
RNAcentral lists this ribosomal RNA (533 nucleotides) under Aspergillus niger. RNAcentral's name for it is "eukaryotic LSU rRNA". The stretch from base 172 to 325 matches the Rfam family "5.8S ribosomal RNA". The record is from RNAcentral. Lineage: Eukaryota; Fungi; Ascomycota; Eurotiomycetes; Eurotiales; Aspergillaceae.